GCUCAGGAUGAACGCUGGCGGCGUGCCUAAUACAUGCAAGUCGAGCGAACGGACGAGAAGCUUGCUUCUCUGAUGUUAGCGGCGGACGGGUGAGUAACACGUGGAUAACCUACCUAUAAGACUGGGAUAACUUCGGGAAACCGGAGCUAAUACCGGAUAAUAUUUUGAACCGCAUGGUUCAAAAGUGAAAGACGGUCUUGCUGUCACUUAUAGAUGGAUCCGCGCUGCAUUAGCUAGUUGGUAAGGUAACGGCUUACCAAGGCAACGAUGCAUAGCCGACCUGAGAGGGUGAUCGGCCACACUGGAACUGAGACACGGUCCAGACUCCUACGGGAGGCAGCAGUAGGGAAUCUUCCGCAAUGGGCGAAAGCCUGACGGAGCAACGCCGCGUGAGUGAUGAAGGUCUUCGGAUCGUAAAACUCUGUUAUUAGGGAAGAACAUAUGUGUAAGUAACUGUGCACAUCUUGACGGUACCUAAUCAGAAAGCCACGGCUAACUACGUGCCAGCAGCCGCGGUAAUACGUAGGUGGCAAGCGUUAUCCGGAAUUAUUGGGCGUAAAGCGCGCGUAGGCGGUUUUUUAAGUCUGAUGUGAAAGCCCACGGCUCAACCGUGGAGGGUCAUUGGAAACUGGAAAACUUGAGUGCAGAAGAGGAAAGUGGAAUUCCAUGUGUAGCGGUGAAAUGCGCAGAGAUAUGGAGGAACACCAGUGGCGAAGGCGACUUUCUGGUCUGUAACUGACGCUGA
RNAcentral lists this ribosomal RNA (745 nucleotides) under Staphylococcus aureus. Its description in RNAcentral is "bacterial SSU rRNA". It matches the Rfam family "Bacterial small subunit ribosomal RNA", at positions 22 to 749 of the family's 1533-position model. The record is from RNAcentral. Lineage: Bacteria; Bacillati; Bacillota; Bacilli; Caryophanales; Staphylococcaceae.